GGACUACUGGGGUUUCUAAUCCUGUUUGCUCCCCGCGCUUUCGCGCCUCAGCGUCAGUCGUCGGCUGGCAGCCUGCCUUCGCCAUCGGUGUUCUUCCUGAUAUCUACAGAUUUCACCCCUACACCAGGAAUUCCGGCUGCCCCUCCGCAACUCAAGCCUCGCAGUUUCCAGCGCAGCCCAGGGGUUGAGCCCCUGUAUUUCACGCCGGACUUGCGCGGCCGCCUACGCGCCCUUUACGCCCAAUAAUUCCGAACAACGCUCGCCCCUUACGUGUUACCGCGGCGGCUGGCAC
Molecule: ribosomal RNA, 292 nt
Filed under: uncultured bacterium
Lineage: Bacteria
Description: partial 16S ribosomal RNA
Source: RNAcentral